GGGAGGGGGAGGGGGGGGGGGGAGGAACCCUAUGAUCUCCCGCACUGGGCCCGAGGAAAGGGCACGGCCCGGAAACGCCGCCAUCGCCUCACCCAGGCCCCGGGAGCCCGUUGCAGAGUCACCACCAACAGCCAAGCUCUCACCGCCAAGCAGGAGCCAACGUACCGGGCAUUAAUUAGCCCUGUCCCCGUCCCGUCGCCAACCCCUUCUCGUCGACAGCGGCGGAGCCGGAGCCGCCCUGCACCACCACUGACAGCGCCACCUCUGCUCUGGAGGAACACUUGCAGCUGGAGCCUGUGCAGCUCCAGGUUCUGAAGUUGAAGAGGGCUCCCCCAGGCUGAAGAGAAAACCUUCCCCAGGCUGGUCGACACCCUGAAUCUCAGCAAACCCUCUUCUCUCAAUCGAUGGCCAAUAUUCUCGCCCAGAAUAAGCUGUUUCAUUCAAGUUGCUAAGAAUGUCUCAGUGUUCUUCUCAGAAAUCAUUCUAUCCAAAUAUCCUGAAUGUUUGACAUUCGAAGAAUAAUUUUAAAAGAUCAACUUUGAUAUUAGUAUCUAAUGUGAAGACAACUCGGGUCUCGGAGGGGGAAUAACGAUGAUGUUUUCGAGCAGGCUGUCUUCAGUUUUACAAUUUAAGAAACUUGGUACAAAUUUUCAUUUCUAUUAUCAGAAUGCUGUUUGCAGUGACUAAUGUUGUUUUAUCUGUGAUGAAAUAAGACCUAUAAACCUAGGGUCAUUCUAUUUUUCUGUUCAUUCAUGGGAUGUGAAAGUCGCUGGCUAUGCCACCAUUUAUUGUCCAACUCCAGUUGGUGGUGAACUGCCUUCUUGGAUGACUGCAACCCUCAGACUGUAGGAAACAAUACAGAGAAUUUGACCAUCAA
This is a long non-coding RNA of Rhincodon typus (whale shark), 877 nucleotides long. RefSeq lists it as uncharacterized. The transcript is spliced from 2 exons. Lineage: Eukaryota; Metazoa; Chordata; Chondrichthyes; Orectolobiformes; Rhincodontidae. The record is from RefSeq and is a predicted model, not a curated record.